Astatotilapia calliptera (eastern happy) is the source of this 371-nucleotide long non-coding RNA. The record is from Ensembl. Lineage: Eukaryota; Metazoa; Chordata; Actinopteri; Cichliformes; Cichlidae.
GAGCAUGCUCAGAGCCCACCGAGUUCUCCUUGGCAUUUCUGGAAGUUCUUAGUUUAUUAAACCUGAUCCAGAUGUUCAAAUGAAGCGGCCACUGCAGGGCAGUAGACAUCCAGCAGGACUUUGAGCUGCUCACAGUGAACACAAGAGGAAGAGAGCAGAGCUCUCCAGUGGUCAGACUGUGCAACUGCAGCUGCUCAGACAACAAGAAGAAGCUGAAGCAGGAAGGUGAUGUGCAGGAAACCUGUGGAGCAGUUUUGGAAACAUUUCGGGAGACGCUGUGGAGAGAGGCUGGGUGUUGGAUUGCUGCACUGGGAGCUGGGAUUAACACCGCUGUGGACAUCAUGUUUGGGUACUAUUAUUGCGUCUUGCUC